This 441-nucleotide ribosomal RNA is filed under the name uncultured bacterium. RNAcentral's name for it is "bacterial SSU rRNA". It matches the Rfam family "Bacterial small subunit ribosomal RNA", at positions 958 to 1392 of the family's 1533-position model. The record is from RNAcentral.
AACGCGAAGAACCUUACCAAGGCUUGACAUACACCGGAAACGGCCAGAGAUGGUCGCCCCCUUGUGGUCGGUGUACAGGUGGUGCAUGGCUGUCGUCAGCUCGUGUCGUGAGAUGUUGGGUUAAGUCCCGCAACGAGCGCAACCCUUGUUCUGUGUUGCCAGCAUGCCCUUCGGGGUGAUGGGGACUCACAGGAGACUGCCGGGGUCAACUCGGAGGAAGGUGGGGACGACGUCAAGUCAUCAUGCCCCUUAUGUCUUGGGCUGCACACGUGCUACAAUGGCAGGUACAAUGAGCUGCGAAGCCGUGAGGCGGAGCGAAUCUCAAAAAGCCUGUCUCAGUUCGGAUUGGGGUCUGCAACUCGACCCCAUGAAGUCGGAGUUGCUAGUAAUCGCAGAUCAGCAUUGCUGCGGUGAAUACGUUCCCGGGCCUUGUACACACCG